AGGGGUGUAGCUCAAUGGUAGAACAUUUGCCUAGCAUGUGCAAGGUCCUGGGUUCCAUCCCCAGCACCACAA
This 72-nucleotide transfer RNA is filed under the name Fukomys damarensis (Damara mole-rat). It matches the Rfam family "tRNA". Rfam says of the family: Transfer RNA (tRNA) molecules are approximately 80 nucleotides in length. Their secondary structure includes four short double-helical elements and three loops (D, anti-codon, and T loops). Further hydrogen bonds mediate the characteristic L-shaped molecular structure. tRNAs have two regions of fundamental functional importance: the anti-codon, which is responsible for specific mRNA codon recognition, and the 3' end, to which the tRNAs corresponding amino acid is attached (by aminoacyl-tRNA synthetases). tRNAs cope with the degeneracy of the genetic code in two manners: having more than one tRNA (with a specific anti-codon) for a particular amino acid; and 'wobble' base-pairing, i.e. permitting non-standard base-pairing at the 3rd anti-codon position. Lineage: Eukaryota; Metazoa; Chordata; Mammalia; Rodentia; Bathyergidae. The record is from Rfam by way of RNAcentral.